AACUCGUCAGGUUUAGAAGGGAGCAGACCAUCCAAAAUUUUGUUCUUCGUUGAAAAGACAAAAGGAAGGUGAUCAUGAAAACCGCUGUGUUGGUGUUCGUCGGAGUGAUCCUAGUGCAACAGACCCUUGGUCAGUUCAUGUCGGAGAAUAAAGUAAAGUGCACGCUUGGAUCGUCGGACUACGCCUACCAAAACAUGGUCCUGAAACAUGCCUGCUGCCACAAGGUCAACAACUGCUUUUGUGAGAUGAGAGACCAAGCCAAUCCGACCGUUAUCCACUGGUGCAAUGCCCCGAUCACCGCAGACCGUGUGUUGAGCAUCAUUGAGAAACUUCUCGAUAUGCUAAAAGCGCAGGUGGCAGCGAAGAAAUAAGUGCUCGUCUACCACAAAUUCAUAAUAAACAUGAUUCCAUUGCUAAUGUAAACUAUCUAUGUGUCUAGAAUAAAAUUGAGUUAAUCUACCAAAA
Lineus longissimus is the source of this 465-nucleotide long non-coding RNA. RefSeq lists it as uncharacterized. The transcript is spliced from 3 exons. The record is from RefSeq and is a predicted model, not a curated record. NCBI's taxonomy places the organism in Eukaryota, Metazoa, Nemertea, Pilidiophora, Heteronemertea, Lineidae.